CCUACGGGUGACAGCAGUAGGGAAUUUUCGUCAAUGGGCGCAAGCCUGAACGCGCAAUGCCGCGUUAACGAGGAAGGUCUUCGGAUCGUAAAGUUCUGUUGAAGGGGAAAAAGAGCGGAGAGAGGAAAUGGUCUCCGAUUGAUAUUACCCUUCGAGGAAGUCACGGCUAACUACGUGCCAGCAGCCGCGGUAAUACGUAGGUGGCGAGCGUUAUCCGGAAUGAUUGGGCGUAAAGGGUGCGUAGGCGGCCUGCUAAGUCUGGUGUGAAAGGUACCGGCUCAACCGGUACAGGCUCUGGAAACUGGCGGGCUAGAGAGCAGGAGAGGGCGGUGGAACUCCAGGUGUAGCGGUAAAAUGCGUAGAUAUAUGGAAGAACACCAGUGGCGAAGGCGGCCGCCUGGCCUGUUACUGACGCUGAGGCACGAAAGCGUGGGGAGCAAAUAGGAUUAGAUACCCGGGUAGUC
Molecule: ribosomal RNA, 464 nt
Filed under: uncultured bacterium
Lineage: Bacteria
Description: partial 16S ribosomal RNA
Rfam family: Bacterial small subunit ribosomal RNA
Source: RNAcentral